AAUACCUCUGGCCACUGAUUUGUCCAUAGUCCUCAUACAGGAAAUAACAAGUCUGUCCAGCAUCUUCAUAAGCCUGGAUUGCUCACCAGCUUUGACUCCAGCUCCUGUACGCAUCUCCUGAAUUAAGCAACACAGAAGGGUUCUCUGAAGUCACUGAAUCCCAGAAAGGCCCUCCACCUUUAGCACAAGGGAAGUCUUCACCACUGGACAAAGGAGAAAAAGAUAAGGGGUCACCAGACUAGGGUUUCUGAGCAUGGAUCCAACCAUCUCAACCUUGGACACAGAACUGACACCAGUCAAAGGAACUGAGGAGACUCUUUGCUACAAGCAGACCUUGAGCCUCAUGGGGCUGACGUGCAUCGUUUCCCUUGUCGGGCUGACAGGAAACGCGGUUGUGCUCUGGCUCCUGGGCUUCCGCAUGCGCAGGACCGCCUUCUCCAUCUACAUCGUCAACUUGGCCGCAGCAGACUUCCUCUUCCUCAGCGGCCGCCUUAUAUAUUCCCUGUUAAGCUUCAUCAGUAUCCCCCAAACCAUCUCUAAAAUCCUCUAUCCUGUGAUGAUGUUUUCUUACUUUGCAGGCCUGAGCUUUCUGAGUGCCGUGAGCACCGAGCGCUGCCUGUCCGUCCUGCGGCCCAUCUGGUACCGCUGCCACCGCCCCACACACCUGUCAGCGGUGGUGUGUGUCCUGCUCUGGGCCCUGUCCCUGCUGCGGAGCAUCCUGGAGUGGAUGUUAUGUGGCUUCCUGUUUAGUGGUGCUGAUUCUGCUUGGUGUCAAACAUCAGAUUUCAUCACAGUCGCGUGGCUGAUUUUUUUAUGUGUGGUUCUCUGUGGGUCCAGCCUGGUCCUGCUGAUCAGGAUUCUCUGUGGAUCCCGGAAGAUGCCGCUGACCAGGCUGUA
This 897-nucleotide small RNA is filed under the name Pan troglodytes (chimpanzee). Its description in RNAcentral is "processed transcript". Lineage: Eukaryota; Metazoa; Chordata; Mammalia; Primates; Hominidae. The record is from RNAcentral.